Molecule: ribosomal RNA, 292 nt
Filed under: uncultured bacterium
Lineage: Bacteria
Description: partial 16S ribosomal RNA
Rfam family: Bacterial small subunit ribosomal RNA
Source: RNAcentral
GUGCCAGCCGCCGCGGUAAUACGAAGGGGGCUAGCGUUGCUCGGAAUUACUGGGCGUAAAGCGCACGUAGGCGGAUUGUUAAGUCGGGGGUGAAAUCCUGGAGCUCAACUCCAGAACUGCCUUCGAUACUGGCGAUCUCGAGUUCGGGAGAGGUGAGUGGAACUGCGAGUGUAGAGGUGAAAUUCGUAGAUAUUCGCAAGAACACCAGUGGCGAAGGCGGCUCACUGGCCCGAUACUGACGCUGAGGUGCGAAAGCGUGGGGAGCAAACAGGAUUAGAUACCCUAGUAGUCC